ACGUAUUUCACGAGGAACUCACCGAAAUUGAACUCCCUGACUUUCCGCUUUCCUGCAUUGGCGGGUUCUGGAACUGGUGGCUGUGGUAGCUCGUUGGUCUUUGGUCUCUUAGAAGGUGGAGAAUAAUCAUCAUCUUGAAAAAGAAAAUGGUCAUUACUGAAGGAACCGUCUUAAGAGUUACAGCCACCUCCUGGUCAAUUCCCUACAUUCAAAAGCUAAAGAAAUGGGCUCAGGAAUGUUAUUUGAUUGGACUGUGUUGCCUCUCUGGACAGUGCAGCUGAGAUCAGACUGCGCAUGCGUGUGACUCUACUGGCCUACCAGAGUGCUUCUCCUAAAGGGUUGCAAGAUCAUAGUUCUCGGGGUGUUUAAAGGCAACGCCUUCCGGAAGCCCCUGCACCACCACAGCCGACUGGUCUCGUAACAUCUUCUCAUACGGAACAGGUACCACUGUGGAUUUGCCUAAAGCUUUCCCUGGGGGGAGGUGAAAAGCAGAGGAACAUCACUCAAUGCCCAGGCCUAUCCAACUAUGAGAUGACAGAGCAGAAGGUCUCACCAUGGACUCGAGAGCUGACAUGAGGAAUGUCACCACCAUCCUGCUCUCCGAGGACUCCUCAUCUUCAACGGGCAGGGUGGACAUUGCAACUUGGGCCAUGAUCCCUGUGCAAGACAAGUAAGAAGGAAGUGAGUGGUAGAAAUCCAGUGUCCUAAACCCACAUCCAGAGGUGCAAGGGUCCCUCACGGGCUGCCAAAUUUACAGUUUUCCUGCACAAGAGAAGAAACUAAGUAUUUGAUUUGCUGGAAACUCUCAUAAGACAGAGAAUCCAUUCCCUAA
Molecule: non-coding RNA, 832 nt
Organism: Saimiri boliviensis boliviensis (Bolivian squirrel monkey)
Lineage: Eukaryota; Metazoa; Chordata; Mammalia; Primates; Cebidae
Source: RefSeq, a predicted model, not a curated record